Molecule: long non-coding RNA, 2298 nt
Organism: Helianthus annuus (common sunflower)
Lineage: Eukaryota; Viridiplantae; Streptophyta; Magnoliopsida; Asterales; Asteraceae
Exons: 12
Source: RefSeq, a predicted model, not a curated record
AUCAAUUCUCUCAAUCAAUUGAAGACAAAUUGAUUUCUCUUUAAAUCUCAAAACCUAAUCAAAUUGAUUUCUGCAGGCUAUCAUCUUUCACCCACAUUCAAUUUUACAAACCCUAAAUCUCAUCUACGGCUUCAUCUUUAGCGAUUGUACUUGGCCAUACCCACUUCAGAAAUCCCUAAAACUCAAUCAUUCGAACUCUCAUUUAGCUUUCAUUGAAUUCAGUGCUAAGAACCCAAAAUCUAUAGAACCGGGUGAACAUUGAUAUGAUAGUGGCCUAUAUUAGGUUGGCCAUAGUUCAAGCUGGAGGUUUUCCGAUCAUCUUUAUGCUUUUGAGAUCUGAUUCAUACAUUUUCUUCACUACAGAGAGAUUUUAAUUUUAUUGAUCAUACAAGUAUUCCCGGAUGGAAAGAAUAAGAUAAAGUUGAUUGGUAAAGUUUGAGAUGCAUUGUUUGAAAGAAGCAAUCUGAAUCAUCUCUCUCAGAUCCUAUAUCGCAUAUGCUAAUGAUUUUUAAUCGACUGUGGUGAUUCGACUUGGUCACACUUUGCCACAAACGGGUCAAAUGGUUAAAUUUUCAUGGGCUUUUGGAAAUAAUGUCCAAGAAUUCAAUGAUUUGAAACGAGGAUCCUGCACUUCGUCAGGAAAUCGACCUUGAAGAUGAAAGAGUUGCAGGCACAUUGCAUUCUGUAUAGAUUGUGGAGUUUUAAUUGUAAAGGUUUACACCUGUGUUGCAAAACUCAAAUUAUAUGACCUUUUGCUACAUCUUGCCGUAUAGCAUAGGCAUUAGAGUUAUCCGAUGAGAAACCAAAGGGCAAGGCAACCAUACAUUAUCAGCUUCGGCUUGCAGGUGGUAACUUUGUUCUAAGUGGUGGCAAUCAUGGGAGAAGGAUAUCAACAUGAAAGAAAUGGAACAACAGUUGCAUGAGCAUGUGGGUCUACUAAGACAGAGUGAAUUAAUAAGAAUAAAUGCCAAGAAGGAGCUUAAAGAAAUGGAACUACAGUCACAAUUGGAUUGGCCUCAUAUGAUGAGCCGAAAGACAAGGGGGUACAUGCACUAAUCGGCCUUUGUCUCAAUUGUUGAGUGUUAUGUGCCUUAUGUCCAAAGCUUGACGCAAAACUACUAUUUAGCCAGGGGUCUCACUGGAAGCAGCCGCUUUAUUCUUAUGGGGUAGAGGUAAGGCGUUCUACAUCUUACCCUUCCCAUACCCUACCUUAGAUUUGCUAUUGGUGGGAUUUACUAAGUAUGAUGAUGAUGAUGAUCAUUUUAUACGCAUUUAAAAUGUCAAUGUGGGUUAAUCGAUUUAUUGCUUUAGUUUAUAUAUGCAUCUAAAAUGUCAAUCAUUCUUUAUUCUUUAUGAAUUCCUUCUUCAAUUUAUUAUUUUAGUUUAAGAAUAACUAUUUUAUAACAGGUUUUAGAAGCUUACAAAGUAUCAUGUGAAAAAUAUGUUAUAUUUUUCCUAGGCUGUGGCCUCUGCACCUAUCUUUAUUCUUUCAUGCUUGACUAUGUAUAAUGAACUAUGUAUAUUGUCAUAAUUUCACAUAAAAGAAAUAACGAUAUCUAAUUCUCUUGGUGUUAAUGAGCUGGUGAUUCCUGCAAUACCUGAACUUUACAAAACAUGGACCAAAGUGCUUGGCUUCAAGCAACUUGAUGAAUCGUUGAGGCAUGCAAUGAAGGGUAUGCGUUUGAUAGUGUUUCCUGUUAAAGAUAUAUGCUUCGCCAACCUCUCCUAAAGAAUCAGUUUGCUGAUAAGAAUCUUAUUUCAGUGCAGGUUGAAGUGAAAAGGAUACUUCCCAGAGAGGAUACACAGGGAAGUUGAGGUGUAUCAAGAACAAAGAAAAUAUUUGUUGGUGAUGAAUUGGGGGAAUAGUUUUCCAUAUAUGGUGGUAUUGUUGAGCAUUAGAUCAUUUCACGGGUUGAUCACCAGGCUUUGGCUUUGUCACAUUUGACAACAAAGAAGUUGUGGAUUAGUUAUUUGUUGAUGGUCAACUACAUGAACUAGGAGAGGCAAACAAAUAUACUUCCAACAAUCAGUUGCACAGGCAGUCAUGAAUUCAAGAUUUGGCAGUCAUCAGGGGCGGAUCUAUAGAGGACCAAGGGGUAGCCUCCGCUACCGCUUGAUCGGAAAAUUUUUGACGUUUUUAGUGUAAAUUUUGGAAAAAUUUGACGUUUUUUCGAUUUCGUUACCGCCUAUUUAUAAAACGUUCCCGCUUGGUCGGAAUCCUAGAUCCGCCACUCGCAGUCAUGUUGCAGGUUGUUGGAGAGAAAUUAGGGUUUUGAAAUGGGAUUGAUUUGGGGAAGA